AUGCCACCGGAUAGAGACAUUGAGUUUUUGAUUGAGCUUUUGCCAGGCACAGGGCCAAUAUCUAAGAGACCGUACAGGAUGCCCACAAAGGAUUUGGAGGAAAUUAAGAAGCAGAUUAAGGAGUUACUGGAUAAAGGCUAUAUUCGCCCAAGUUCGUCACCUUGGGGAUCACCAGUGCUUCUUGUGGAGAAGAAGGAUGGAUCUUGA
Molecule: ribosomal RNA, 207 nt
Filed under: Triticum aestivum (bread wheat)
Lineage: Eukaryota; Viridiplantae; Streptophyta; Magnoliopsida; Poales; Poaceae
Description: partial small subunit ribosomal RNA
Source: RNAcentral